Long non-coding RNA from Lepidothrix coronata (blue-crowned manakin), 1253 nucleotides. RefSeq lists it as uncharacterized. NCBI's taxonomy places the organism in Eukaryota, Metazoa, Chordata, Aves, Passeriformes, Pipridae. The transcript is spliced from 2 exons. The record is from RefSeq and is a predicted model, not a curated record.
AUGUGAUCUGAAUUUUUUUCCAUUAUUAACAGAAAAACUGUCAUGUUCUCAGCAGUUAGAAUCUCAUUAGCUUUAGACUCUAUUGGGUUUAAUCCUGAUUUCUCACCCAGUAGCAUUCUACUAAGUAGCUCAAGUCAAUUAGAAUGCAAACUACAAAGAACAUCUAACAUUAUAGAGAUUAUAUCAAGAAGUUAGAAUGAGCCAACAGAAUUAACACAAGGUAACUUCCAGUGCAGUGAGGAGGGAAUACACCAUUAGCAUUUCAAGACUAAACCGAAGUCCUGGAUUAAAAAAGUUCCUGUAUAACAUGGAAUAGCAAAGUGAUUUCUCCACAGUUCCUUGUUGUGCCAUUAGAACUUUGUGCUGUUGUGGUAACAUUGUGCUAUCAUGGUUAUGCCAAAAUCAUGUCAAUCCAAAUUUCUGGCAAAUGUGAUUGCGGUGGCAAUAUCAGACAAAAAUUGCCAAUACUAGGCUGUUAUAUAAAUUUAAAAAUGAUAAGAUUGUGGAGGGUAUUUAGGAUUGCGCGUGCGUGUGUGUGGGAAGGGACACAGGGAGAACAAAGUGUGGUGCUUGGGGAAGUGACUGAAAGGACAGAUCCAGAAACAGGCACCUCGUGCUGCCCAGCACUGCUUCGUCCAGCACGUACUGAUUUGUGAGAAGCCCCAGACAAACUAGUACUUGUGCACUUCCCGCUUUGGCCUCUCAGUAAAGAACAUCCAAAACCAGCCCGUAAAUAAAUCCGCAGUCACAGAAUUGCCCUGGAAAUUGGACUGUCAGACAGAAGGUAGCGUGUAAUAAAACACCAAGGAGCCUGUUGCAAUUCUGGAGCAAAACCUGCUGAAGUGAAGAUGAUCCCUUUGCUUCCUCUGCCUAUCCUCAGCCUGCUUCCACAUGCUGGUUGUUGCAUUUUACCCCAGAAGAACAUGGGCAUUGCAAGCAUAAGGUUGAGUAUGAACACACUUAAGGAACUUUUUAAGCUGCUAAAUUUUCCACUACAGGAAUUUAAGUUUGCAAUUCACUUAAACACUUCCAAAAAGUGUCACUGUAUGCAUUUUAGGUAGACAAAAUAUGCUUCACAACAAAAUAAAAGGUCUGCCUAGAUGUGGAAUUCUGUUUGAAUUCUAGUGUUAGCCUUAACACCAAAUAAACACUAUUAUGAAAGGCUGGUCUUAUAUUUGUUUCAACCUUUGCCCCAAAAUAAGCAACAUCAGCACUUUAUGAGGACUACAAAAAAAUAAAAUUAUUCUGGAAGU